CCCUUAGAUGUCCUGGGCCGCACGCGCGUUACACUGAUGCAUUCAACGAGCUUAUAACCUUGGCCGAGAGGCCUGGGCAAUCUUGUUAACGUGCAUCGUGAUAGGGAUAGAUUAUUGAAAUUAUUAAUCUUGAACGAGGAAUUCCUAGUAAACGCAAGUCAUCAGCUUGCAUUGAUUACGUCCCUGCCCUUUGUACACACCGCCCGUCGCACCUACCGAUUGAAUGACUCGGUGAAAAAUCGGGACUGUGGUCUAGCUUGCUUAAUUGCAAACUUGACUGUGGGAACUUUCUUUAACCUAUUCAUUUAGAGGAAGGUGAAGUCGUAACA
RNAcentral lists this ribosomal RNA (329 nucleotides) under uncultured eukaryote. RNAcentral's name for it is "partial 18S ribosomal RNA". It matches the Rfam family "Eukaryotic small subunit ribosomal RNA", at positions 1470 to 1796 of the family's 1831-position model. The record is from RNAcentral.